AUGCAUCUCCUUACUUGGGAAAGGACCCCAGUCGUCAGAAGGGAGAGAGGCUGGCAGAGAACGUGGUCAUGAAUCUGAUGGAGACAUUUUUGGAUGAUGGGAGAAAUGUCACGACGGACAAUUUCUUUACUUCACUGUCACACAGAUUGCUGCAGCGCAAAACAACGCUACUGGGCACGGCGAAUAAUGUCCAUGCACCAAGACAAUAGAUCGGUGACGGCAGAAAGAGGAAACCCAACACGAUACCAGACUAUAACCACAUGAAGUGAUCGGAGGGUGCAUUUAAGGAGGAGAGUGUGUGUGUGAGAGGUGUGGUGUGCGCACACGUGUGCCAGAAGACGUGCUGCAUGAGGCACUAAGCAGACAGACACAAAAACUAAAUAAAAGUGGCUAUGAAGCCUUUACACCUGA
Silurus meridionalis is the source of this 411-nucleotide long non-coding RNA. RefSeq lists it as uncharacterized. The transcript is spliced from 2 exons. NCBI's taxonomy places the organism in Eukaryota, Metazoa, Chordata, Actinopteri, Siluriformes, Siluridae. The record is from RefSeq and is a predicted model, not a curated record.